Molecule: ribosomal RNA, 488 nt
Filed under: uncultured bacterium
Lineage: Bacteria
Description: partial 16S ribosomal RNA
Rfam family: Bacterial small subunit ribosomal RNA
Source: RNAcentral
AUUGAACGCUGGCGGCAGGCCUAACACAUGCAAGUCGAACGGUAGCACAGAGAGCUUGCUCUCGGGUGACGAGUGGCGGACGGGUGAGUAAUGUCUGGGAAACUGCCCGAUGGAGGGGGAUAACUACUGGAAACGGUAGCUAAUACCGCAUAACGUCUUCGGACCAAAGUGGGGGACCUUCGGGCCUCCCACCAUCGGAUGUGCCCAGGUGGGAUUAGCUAGUAGGUGGGGUAAUGGCUCACCUAGGCGACGAUCCCUAGCUGGUCUGAGAGGAUGACCAGCCACACUGGAACUGAGACACGGUCCAGACUCCUACGGGAGGCAGCAGUGGGGAAUAUUGCACAAUGGGCGCAAGCCUGAUGCAGCCAUGCCGCGUGUAUGAAGAAGGCCUUCGGGUUGUAAAGUACUUUCAGCGGGGAGGAAGGCGAUGAGGUUAAUAACCGCAUCGAUUGACGUUACCCGCAGAAGAAGCACCGGCUAACUCCGUG